AUAUGAUGAUACCGAAAAUAGAUGACGAGUCUGAAUUAAUGAAGAGACAAAUUUUUUAAAAAUUUACCAUUCAUGCCUUUCUGAUC
RNAcentral lists this small nucleolar RNA (86 nucleotides) under Henningerozyma blattae CBS 6284. Lineage: Eukaryota; Fungi; Ascomycota; Saccharomycetes; Saccharomycetales; Saccharomycetaceae. The record is from RNAcentral.